AGAGUUUGAUCCUGGCUCAGGAUGAACGUUGGCGGCGUGCUUAACACAUGCAAGUCGAACGAAGCACUCUAUUUGAUUUUCUUCGGAAAUGAAGAUUUUGUGACUGAGUGGCGGACGGGUGAGUAACGCGUGGGUAACCUGCCUCAUACAGGGGGAUAACAGUUGGAAACGACUGCUAAUACCGCAUAAGCGCACAGGAUCGCAUGAUCCGGUGUGAAAAACUCCGGUGGUAUGAGAUGGACCCGCGUCUGAUUAGCCAGUUGGCAGGGUAACGGCCUACCAAAGCGACGAUCAGUAGCCGACCUGAGAGGGUGACCGGCCACAUUGGGACUGAGACACGGCCCAAACUCCUACGGGAGGCAGCAGUGGGGAAUAUUGCACAAUGGGGGAAACCCUGAUGCAGCGACGCCGCGUGAGCGAAGAAGUAUUUCGGUAUGUAAAGCUCUAUCAGCAGGGAAGAAGAAUGACGGUACCUGACUAAGAAGCACCGGCUAAAUACGUGCCAGCAGCCGCGGUAAUACGUAUGGUGCAAGCGUUAUCCGGAUUUACUGGGUGUAAAGGGAGCGCAGGCGGUGCGGCAAGUCUGAUGUGAAAGCCCGGGGCUCAACCCCGGUACUGCAUUGGAAACUGUCGUACUAGAGUGUCGGAGGGGUAAGUGGAAUUCCUAGUGUAGCGGUGAAAUGCGUAGAUAUUAGGAGGAACACCAGUGGCGAAGGCGGCUUACUGGACGAUAACUGACGCUGAGGCUCGAAAGCGUGGGGAGCAAACAGGAUUAGAUACCCUGGUAGUCCACGCCGUAAACGAAUAAAUACUAGGUGUCGGGGAACUUUGCUCUUCG
This 838-nucleotide ribosomal RNA is filed under the name uncultured bacterium. RNAcentral describes it as "bacterial SSU rRNA". It matches the Rfam family "Bacterial small subunit ribosomal RNA", at positions 8 to 842 of the family's 1533-position model. The record is from RNAcentral.